This 1505-nucleotide ribosomal RNA is filed under the name gut metagenome. Its description in RNAcentral is "bacterial SSU rRNA". It matches the Rfam family "Bacterial small subunit ribosomal RNA". The record is from RNAcentral.
AGAGUUUGAUCCUGGCUCAGGAUGAACGCUAGCGGCAGGCCUAACACAUGCAAGUCGAGGGGCAGCAUUUGGGUAGUAAUAUCUGAGAUGGCGACCGGCGCACGGGUGCGUAACGCGUAUGUAACCUACCUUAAACAGGGGGAUAACACUGAGAAAUCGGUACUAAUACCCCAUAAUACUAUUGGAGGCAUCUCCGAUAGUUGAAAGUUCCGGCGGUUUAAGAUGGACAUGCGUUGUAUUAGCUAGUUGGUGAGGUAACGGCUCACCAAGGCAACGAUACAUAGGGGGACUGAGAGGUUAACCCCCCACAUUGGUACUGAGACACGGACCAAACUCCUACGGGAGGCAGCAGUGAGGAAUAUUGGUCAAUGGACGCAAGUCUGAACCAGCCAUGCCGCGUGCAGGAUGACGGCUCUAUGAGUUGUAAACUGCUUUUGUACGAGGGUAAUAUCAGAUACGUGUAUCUGCUUGAAAGUAUCGUACGAAUAAGGAUCGGCUAACUCCGUGCCAGCAGCCGCGGUAAUACGGAGGAUCCAAGCGUUAUCCGGAUUUAUUGGGUUUAAAGGGUGCGUAGGCGGUUUUAUAAGUUAGAGGUGAAAAUUCGGGGCUCAACUCCGGACGUGCCUCUAAUACUGUAUGACUAGAGAAUAGAUGCGGUAGGCGGAAUGUAUGGUGUAGCGGUGAAAUGCGUAGAGAUCAUACAGAACACCGAUUGCGAAGGCAGCUUACCAAACUAUGUCUGACGUUGAGGCACGAAAGCGUGGGGAGCAAACAGGAUUAGAUACCCUGGUAGUCCACGCAGUAAACGAUGAUAGCUCGUUGUCGGCGAUACAUUGUCGGUGACUAAGAGAAAUCGUUAAGCUAUCCACCUGGGGAGUACGUUCGCAAGAAUGAAACUCAAAGGAAUUGACGGGGGCCCGCACAAGCGGAGGAACAUGUGGUUUAAUUCGAUGAUACGCGAGGAACCUUACCCGGGCUUGAAAGUUACUGACUAAUCUGGAAACAGGUUAUCCCUUCGGGGCAGGAAACUAGGUGCUGCAUGGUUGUCGUCAGCUCGUGCCGUGAGGUGUCGGGUUAAGUCCCAUAACGAGCGCAACCCUUGCUGUUAGUUGCCAUCAGGUCAAGCUGGGCACUCUAACGGGACUGCCGGUGCAAGCCGGAGGAAGGUGGGGAUGACGUCAAAUCAGCACGGCCCUUACGUCCGGGGCUACACACGUGUUACAAUGGUAGGUACAGAGGGCAGCUAGCCAGUGAUGGCAUGCGAAUCUCGAAAGCCUAUCUCAGUUCGGAUUGGAGGCUGAAACCCGCCUCCAUGAAGUUGGAUUCGCUAGUAAUCGCGCAUCAGCCAUGGCGCGGUGAAUACGUUCCCGGGCCUUGUACACACCGCCCGUCAAGCCAUGGGAGCCGGGGGUGCCUGAAGUUCGUUACCGCAAGGAUCGACCUAGGGCAAAACUGGUGACUGGGGCUAAGUCGUAACAAGGUAGCCGUACCGGAAGGUGCGGCUG